UACGAGUGGUGCAAGCGUUAUUCGGAAUCAUUGGGCGUAAAGGGCGCGUAGACGGUAUGAUAAGUCUGUUGUUAAAUUCCUCGGCUCAACCGAGGAUCUGCGGUGGAAACUGUUGUACUAGAGGAUGGAAGAGAGAAGUGGAAUUCUUGGAGUAGCGGUAAAAUGCGUAGAUCUCAAGAGGAACACCAAUGGCGAAGGCAGCUUCUUGGUCCAUAUCUGACGUUGAGGCGCGAAAGCGUGGGGAGCAAACAGG
RNAcentral lists this ribosomal RNA (253 nucleotides) under uncultured bacterium. Its description in RNAcentral is "partial 16S ribosomal RNA". It matches the Rfam family "Bacterial small subunit ribosomal RNA", at positions 524 to 776 of the family's 1533-position model. The record is from RNAcentral.